GAUCUAUUCUGACACCACUUCAUAUACUAAAAUUGGAAUGAUACUGAGAAGAUUAGCAUGGUCUCUGUGCAAGGAUGACACAUGGCUUCAUGAGUGUUCCAUAUCAUUU
This 109-nucleotide small nuclear RNA is filed under the name Microtus ochrogaster (prairie vole). Lineage: Eukaryota; Metazoa; Chordata; Mammalia; Rodentia; Cricetidae. The record is from RNAcentral.